GUGGGUAUAGCUCAGUCGGUUAGAGCGCUGGCUUGUGGUGCCAGAGGUCACGGGUUCAAAUCCCGUUAUCCACC
This 74-nucleotide transfer RNA is filed under the name Bradymonadaceae bacterium TMQ3. RNAcentral describes it as "tRNA-His". It matches the Rfam family "tRNA". From Rfam's summary of the family: Transfer RNA (tRNA) molecules are approximately 80 nucleotides in length. Lineage: Bacteria; Deltaproteobacteria; Bradymonadales; Bradymonadaceae. RNAcentral also lists the same sequence under 4 other names. The record is from RNAcentral.